RNAcentral lists this ribosomal RNA (322 nucleotides) under uncultured eukaryote. RNAcentral describes it as "partial 18S ribosomal RNA". It matches the Rfam family "Eukaryotic small subunit ribosomal RNA", at positions 1470 to 1796 of the family's 1831-position model. The record is from RNAcentral.
CCCUUAGAUGUUCUGGGCCGCACGCGUGCUACACUGAGUGGAUCAGCGGGUCAGGUUGCGCGAAAGUGUUUCCUAAUCUUGAAAUCCGCUCGUGAUGGGGAUUGACGGUUGCAAUUUUCCGUCAUGAACGAGGAAUACCUUGUAAGCGCGGGUCAUCAUCCCGCGCUGAAUACGUCCCUGCCCUUUGUACACACCGCCCGUCGCUCCUACCGAUUGAGUGGUCCGGUGAGGCUCUGGGAUCUGAGCGGAAAGAGCGUUUCGCUGUUUCUGCUCGGAAAACUCAGUCGAACCUUAUCAUUUAGAGGAAGGAGAAGUCGUAACA